This is a non-coding RNA of Oryctolagus cuniculus (rabbit), 251 nucleotides long. NCBI's taxonomy places the organism in Eukaryota, Metazoa, Chordata, Mammalia, Lagomorpha, Leporidae. The record is from RefSeq and is a predicted model, not a curated record.
GGACAGAGGGCCUCACAGGGGACAGGGGCCCUCACAGGGGACAGGGGCCCUCACAGAAGACAGAGGUCCUCACAGGGGACAGAGGCCCUCACAGAAGACAGAGGUCCUCACAGGGGACAGAGGCCCUCAGGGGACAGGGGACCUCACAGGGGACAGAGGCCCUCACAGGGGACAGAGGCCCUCACAGAAGACAGAGGCCCUCACAGGGGACAGAGGCCCUCACAGGGGACAGGGGACCUCACAGGGGACAG